This is a small nuclear RNA of Dama dama (fallow deer), 102 nucleotides long. The record is from RefSeq and is a predicted model, not a curated record. Lineage: Eukaryota; Metazoa; Chordata; Mammalia; Artiodactyla; Cervidae.
GUGCCCACUUUGGCACUAUAUAUACUAGAACUAUACAGGAAAGAUUAACAUGACCUCUGUGCAAAGAUGACACAAAUUUAUGAAGAAUUCCUCUAUUUUGUU